This 301-nucleotide ribosomal RNA is filed under the name uncultured bacterium. Its description in RNAcentral is "partial 16S ribosomal RNA". It matches the Rfam family "Bacterial small subunit ribosomal RNA", at positions 509 to 807 of the family's 1533-position model. The record is from RNAcentral.
CAGCCGCCGCGGUAAUACGUAGGUGGCAAGCGUUGUCCGGAAUUAUUGGGCGUAAAGGGCUCGCAGGCGGUUUCUUAAGUCUGAUGUGAAAGCCCCCGGCUCAACCGGGGAGGGUCAUUGGAAACUGGGAAACUUGAGUGCAGAAGAGGAGAGUGGAAUUCCACGUGUAGCGGUGAAGUGCGUAGAGAUGUGGAGGAACACCAGUGGCGAAGGCGACUCUCUGGUCUGUAACUGACGCUGAGGGGCGAAAGCGUGGGGAGCGAACAGGAUUAGAUACCCCUGUAGUCCCUGUCUCUUAUAC